RNAcentral lists this ribosomal RNA (519 nucleotides) under uncultured eukaryote. RNAcentral's name for it is "SSU rRNA". It matches the Rfam family "Eukaryotic small subunit ribosomal RNA", at positions 1161 to 1704 of the family's 1831-position model. The record is from RNAcentral.
AGGGCACCACCAGGAGUGGAGCCUGCGGCUUAAUUUGACUCAACACGGGGAAACUCACCCGGCCCGGACACCGUAAGGAUUGACAGAUUGAUAGCUCUUUCAUGAUCUGGUGGAUGGUGGUGCAUGGCCGUUCUUAGUUCGUGGAGCGAUUUGUCUGGUUUAUUCCGAUAACGAGCGAGACUCUAGCCUACUAACUAGUCUGCACAUUGCUAUUGUGUUGCAGCACUUCUUAGAGGGAUUUUCGGUGUACAGCCGCACGAGAUUGAGCAAUAACAGGUCUGUGAUGCCCUUAGAUGUCCGGGGCUGCACGCGCGCUACACUGGCGAAAUCAGCGUGCCUGUCCUUUCCCGAAAGGGAUUGGUAAACCGGUGAAAAUUUGCCGUGAUUGGGAUCGGAAAUUGCAAUUAUUUUCCGUGAACGAGGAAUUCCAAGUAAAUGCGAGUCAUCAACUCGCGUUGAUUACGUCCCUGCCCUUUGUACACACCGCCCGUCGCUGCCCGGGACUGAGCCAUUUCGAGA